This 507-nucleotide long non-coding RNA is filed under the name Callithrix jacchus (white-tufted-ear marmoset). RNAcentral's name for it is "lncRNA (ENSCJAG00000062709.2)". The record is from RNAcentral. Lineage: Eukaryota; Metazoa; Chordata; Mammalia; Primates; Cebidae.
CUUUCCUGGGAAUCAAGGAAGAAGUUAUUCUUGGUUUUGCUGCUGGGUUUGAAGAAGGAACACAUGGACCAAGGAGGUACCAGCAGCCAUUUUAAGCCACAAGAGGAGCCACUUACAAAGACUCUCUGUGACCCAACUUUAGUCAAGCUCCUCUGAGCUCUCUUUUCAACUAGGCCUUGACCUUGGGCCCCUGGCUUGUCUUUGGUCUGCCCAGCUGAGUUUGGCUCAGCUAAGAGCCCAAGCCAGGCUAUGGCAAAAGAAGUCCUGAUUCUAAGGUGAAGACAAGACCACACAUGGCCCUGGUUUGCCCCAUCCUGUGCCUAUAAAGACCCCAGACUCAGUUGGCAGAGAGGAGAAGCUGCUGGACAUCAGAGACUAUGGCUGGCCGUUGGAGAGAAGUGGCUUGACUUCAGAGGGACAGCUUGAUGGUGUAACUUUGGAGAAUAAUCCAACAGGAGAUGGCUGGACUUCUGGGGAAGAUUACCUACCAUCCCCUGUCCCUUUUUC